RNAcentral lists this ribosomal RNA (394 nucleotides) under uncultured Anaeromyxobacter sp. RNAcentral's name for it is "bacterial SSU rRNA". It matches the Rfam family "Bacterial small subunit ribosomal RNA", at positions 67 to 447 of the family's 1533-position model. Lineage: Bacteria; Pseudomonadati; Myxococcota; Myxococcia; Myxococcales; Anaeromyxobacteraceae. The record is from RNAcentral.
CGAGAAAGCCCGCAAGGGUGAGUAAAGCGGCGCACGGGUGCGUAACACGUGGGUAAUCUGCCCUGAAGUCCGGAAUAACUCGCCGAAAGGCGUGCUAAUGCCGGAUGAGACCACGGGAGCUCCGGCUCCUGCGGGAAAAGGUGGCCUCUGUACACAAGCUAUCUCUUCAGGAUGAGCCCGCGGCCCAUCAGCUAGUUGGCGGGGUAAUGGCCCACCAAGGCUACGACGGGUAGCUGGUCUGAGAGGACGAUCAGCCACACUGGAACUGAGACACGGUCCAGACUCCUACGGGAGGCAGCAGUGGGGAAUCUUGCGCAAUGGGCGAAAGCCUGACGCAGCAACGCCGCGUGUGUGAUGAAGGUCUUCGGAUCGUAAAGCACUGUCGCGAGGGACG